GUGUCAGCAGCCGCGGUAAUACGUAGGGGGCGAGCGUUGUCCGGAAUUACUGGGCGUAAAGCGCGCGUAGGCGGCUUUACAAGUCGUUUGUGAAAGCCCCAGGCUCAACUUGGGGAUUGCAGACGAAACUGUAGGGCUUGAGUGCGGUAGAGGAAAGUGGAAUUCCUAGUGUAGCGGUGAAAUGCGCAGAUAUUAGGAGGAACACCAGUGGCGAAGGCGACUUUCUGGGCCGCAACUGACGCUGAGGCGCGAAAGCGUGGGGAGCAAACAGGAUUAGAUACCCUGGUAGUCCACGCUGUAAACGAUGAAUACUAGGUGUAGGGGGUAUCGACCCCCCCUGUGCCGGAGCAAACGCAAUAAGUAUUCCGCCUGGGGAGUACGACCGCAAGGUUGAAACUUAAAUGAAUUGACGGGG
Molecule: ribosomal RNA, 415 nt
Filed under: uncultured prokaryote
Description: bacterial SSU rRNA
Rfam family: Bacterial small subunit ribosomal RNA
Source: RNAcentral